Small nucleolar RNA from Nomascus leucogenys (northern white-cheeked gibbon), 104 nucleotides. Lineage: Eukaryota; Metazoa; Chordata; Mammalia; Primates; Hylobatidae. The record is from Ensembl.
AUCCUUUUGUAGUUCAUGAGCGUGAUGAUUGGGUGUUCACAUGCAUGUGUGAGAUGUGCCACUGUUGAACCUUGUUAUGAUGUCAGCACAUUACCCAUCUGACA